UACGAAGGGUGCAAACGUUGCUCGGAAUUAUUGGGCGUAAAGGGUAGGUAGGUGGUCAUACAAGUCUGGGGUGAAAUCCCUGAGCUCAACUCAGGACGUGCCUUGGAAACUGUAUUACUAGAGUGCUGGAGAGGUCCGCAGAAUUCCCGGUGUAGCGGUGAAAUGCGUAGAGAUCGGGAGGAAUACCAGAGGCGAAGGCGGCGGACUGGACAGUCACUGACACUCAACUACGAAAGCGUGGGUAGCAAACAGG
Molecule: ribosomal RNA, 253 nt
Filed under: uncultured bacterium
Lineage: Bacteria
Description: partial 16S ribosomal RNA
Rfam family: Bacterial small subunit ribosomal RNA
Source: RNAcentral